Molecule: ribosomal RNA, 906 nt
Filed under: Triticum aestivum (bread wheat)
Lineage: Eukaryota; Viridiplantae; Streptophyta; Magnoliopsida; Poales; Poaceae
Description: partial small subunit ribosomal RNA
Source: RNAcentral
AUGUUCUUAUGGAUUGUUGGAGGCCCUCAAUCAUUUGCUCAAGCUGAGAACCGUUUUGUACGAUCACUUUGGACAGUUCAUACAAAGUUUAAGGAAGUUUUGUUAUGUUUGCGCAAGUUAGCGAAAGAUAACAUCAAACCUAGAGAUCCUACUUUUAGGCAUGAGCAUGAAAAGAUUAAGGAAGAGCGUUUCUGGCCUCAUUUCAAAGGCGCUAUUGGUGCCAUAGAUGGAUCACAUGUGCCAGUUUCAGUGCCUGCAGAUGAUGCGGUUAACCAUAGAUGUCGACAUGGUUUCACAUCUCAGAAUGUGCUUGCAGUAUGUGACUUUGACAUGAGGUUUACGUUUGUGGUUGCGGGUUGGCCGGGCUGUGCACAUGAUACAAGGGUCUUGAAUCAUGCAUUAGCACACUUCCCUUCAUUUCCUAUACCACCCAAAGGGAAAUACUAUCUUGUCGACUCUGGGUAUCCAAACCGAACGGGAUACCUUGCUCCUUUUAAGGGGAGUACAUACCAUCUGCUCGAAUUUCGUCUUCGCCGUCAUCGUCCACCUGAAGGGAAGUACGAGUUGUUUAACUUUUCACAUUCAUCCCUUCAAAAUGUUGUUGAGCGUGCUUUCGGGGUACUCAAGCAGAAAUGGCGCAUCUUGAAAGGGGUCCCAAGUUUCUCACCUCGUACACAGAAGCAUAUCAUCAUUGCUUGCAUGGCAUUGCAUAAUUUCAUUCGUGAUAGCAAGUUGAGUGACAAAGUUUUUGAUAAAUGUGAUGCCGAUGAUGAGUAUGUACCUCCAGUGCUACGAAAGGAGGUGGCACCAACACAAGCGGAUCCCGUUGAAGAAGAGGAGAACGAAGAUAGCAUGAACAAUAUUCGUAGUAGGAUAGCUGAUGCUUGUCUUGCCAUGGCAAGAUAA